This is a long non-coding RNA of Pipra filicauda (Wire-tailed manakin), 909 nucleotides long. RefSeq lists it as uncharacterized. The record is from RefSeq and is a predicted model, not a curated record. NCBI's taxonomy places the organism in Eukaryota, Metazoa, Chordata, Aves, Passeriformes, Pipridae. The transcript has 8 exons.
UAAGCUCUGGUAGCAGUUUAAAUGUUUGCAGACUAUUGAAUCCAAGAAUUUUGUUAUUUAAGUUUACUGGAAUACAAUGAAAGAGACUUAGACCACCUAUUAAUAUAUUUAUAAUAUAUUUUCCUCUCAAGAUUUGGGAACUAAAUGAUACUCUUCUCCUGAAAACAAUAUUUGCCCAGCUCUUAUACCCAAGAACUUGCCAGUCAAGAUGAAAAACAACUUCUAAUGGAAUCCAGCUUGAAAGCAACUCAAGAGCAGCUAAGUGAGCAAAUAGCAGAAACAGUUUGCCAAGAACAGAACAGUAGAAAACCAGAGUCGAAGAGCUGGAGACCCUGAGAAAGCGUACUAUGACUUCUGAAGAAGAAAUUAGUGAUUACAAAGACAUGAUGGUGUGCACCAUAUGGAGCUACAACUAAGGCAGAAAUUCUCCCAUCCAUCACAAAAGGUUGAUUUUGUUUACCGUCGUCAAACUUAUUAUUGAAUGAUUCCCAUUUUGUUUAAAAUAUCAAGAAAAGGGUGGAGGACUUUAAGACUCUAUGGUUAUGACUGGGAAAAGCUGAAUUGAUUGCAACGGAAAUCUACCUGACACUGGGCCAAAAAUUUUCAGAGCCCUACAGCUCUUGGAAUUUCUUCUAAUUUCUCCCACCAUUAUGGAUUUAUAAGUGAGCAAUUUCAUAUUUAAUUGCAAAAUAAGUGGAGGCAUGUGUCUGGAAGAUGGGGAGAAUGGCAUAUUCAAUUUCCUUGUGGCACAUAUUAAAUUUUUAAGAACAUAUUUGCCUAGGCUUCUGCUGGAUUUAGUCAGACUUCAACUAGCAGGUCAAAUACAACUGAAGAAAUGUCUUGGGCUUGCUAAAUUGACUUUGUACCACACAAGGCUCCAUUCAGGUACUGGAAGGCCACAAUUAGGUC